AUGGCGGCACCGCCGCGAACAGUUACAAAAAUACUAGUAGAACAGAAGCAAAGCAACCGUAUAGACAGUAAAGAUACAACAACAAAAAAUUCGAGCAAAACUACGCAGCAUCUUUUGAGAGGUUUGAGAUUGAUUGAGGUUUUGGCCAGCAUAGGACAACAUGGUUUUGGACUGAUUUUGGGCAGAUUUGCAGUAAGAAAGUAG
Vicia faba (fava bean) is the source of this 204-nucleotide non-coding RNA. Lineage: Eukaryota; Viridiplantae; Streptophyta; Magnoliopsida; Fabales; Fabaceae. The record is from the annotation of a GenBank genome assembly.